RNAcentral lists this long non-coding RNA (7767 nucleotides) under Eutrema salsugineum. RNAcentral describes it as "long non-coding RNA (ESAL_LNC000025)". The record is from RNAcentral. Lineage: Eukaryota; Viridiplantae; Streptophyta; Magnoliopsida; Brassicales; Brassicaceae.
AACAAAUAAAAAUCUUAAUAUUUUGUCGUGAUAUUUGUCAGCUAUUAAAUUGCUUAUUCAAAAGUUCAUUCAUUGUGAUUCUGCAUGUCACCAAGUCAUAAAUACUACCAGACAACAUCAAAGUAUAUUUUGUUCUUGAUACUCCUUAAGAAAGCACCUACAACAUAUACACACGCGACAAUCCGUGAUUCACCUUAAUUACACACAAUUCAAUAAUCAGAUUGUAAAUGCUGCAUUAGUAAUGUAUUCGAAAUCCUUAUCGAGGACAAUACAUUGUUGGACACCUUCAAAACAGAAUUUGGAUUGAAACCGGGUCAUAUGGGCCCAAAAAGACAAAUUUUGUUUAAAUGGGUCUACGAUUCGAUGAUAUAGUGGCCCGUUAAACCGGCGCGGUACGGAUCGGGUCGUUGAGAAUCGGAUCUUUAACUGAAGCUGGGGAGCCAUGAAUGUCAAUCACCAAUCUCGAGGUCGAUCAAGGAGCGAUUCGAAAGAGAAGAGCGAGCGAGAUAGAGCUCUGUUGUAUUUGAAACCAGAUAGAAUCGAAGCUAUCCACUGGAAAUAGGGCUUUUGUUCUUCUCAAUCUCCUUCUUGUAGCUUGUGAUUCCUGGAUUACCUGUUUUUGUCAACUUCCAUGGCGGAUGGAUACUGGAAUCAGCAGCGACAGCAUCCUCCUCCUGGUGGUCCUCCGAAACGUCGCCGUUCCGAUUUCGGUAAGCUCAUUUCUCUUAUACUCUCGCUAGUUGGUUUCUCGAUAGCUAGAAGAAGCACAAUACGCAGUUUCAACAACUCUUUGAUUGAGGCCACAAUUGAGCACCUUGAUGAUGAUGAUCAAUAUAGGAUACAGAAACACAUGGGGAAUAGUCUGCUUUAGAUAGAUAAACCCUUCCCGUAAAUAAAUCUCCAGAUUCUGCAUUUUGUCUUCGCAGAGGCUCUACCAUCUGCAAUGCCUUCAGGCCAUGAGAUGCACGGUGGUUAUUUUCCACGGGAUGAGGAUCUUGAUGUUCCCGAUACUAGAACUAUUGGGUCUGCUUAUGAUCGCUACCUACAAAGCGUGGUGGUACCAUUCUUAUUGAUUCAUUUCAGUAUAAUCUUCUGGUCCAUUCUUCUUUCUUUGUUGACCUGGUUCAUUUUUCCUUUGUUCUUGAUGAAGCAAACACCUUCUAUGCAAUCUGGAGAAGCAGGUCAUCGUAAUGGUGUAGCCAUUGGAAGAACAGGAGGUAACGGGCAAUCAAUGGGUGAGUUUAUGAUGAGACGUGGUGGAGUUCUCCCUCCAGACCACGGUCCAGAUGGUCGUGCUUUGGGUUUUGAUCCACAAGAAUCUGUUGAUAGGCGUAACCGUGAACCACUUCCUCUACCUCCAGAUGCAUCCAACACUCUAUAUGUUGAAGGACUUCCUUCUAAUUGCUCAAGGAGGGAAGUAGCUCGUAUCCUAUUUCAUGACAAGUUUUCUUUUUUUCCUUUUCUCGAAACUAACCUUAACGGAAACUAUCUUCUCUCCACUUUCCUUAACCGAGGUCUAGAUAUAUUUCGACCUUUUGUAGGAUAUAGAGAAGUGAGACUUGUGACCAAAGACUCAAAACAUGCAAGUUUCCUUGCUUCACUCACAGUUCGGAUAUUGUUGAAAUCGCUUGUACCAGAAAUUAUAUUACUUUGAUAAACAUACUAAAGGGUUUGUAUUUAUGGUUAAUGCAGCGGAACGGAGAUCCUAUUGUUCUUUGCUUUGUUGAUUUUACAAACCCUGCCUGUGCAGCGACUGCUCUGAGCACCUUACAAGGUAAGUAAUAAUCUUACGAAAUCUCUUUCCACUUGAUUUCUCGUUCUCCUGGCUUCUUAUUCACAUUUAUCUUUAGGUCUGUUUUCAUUGUGUAACCUUUUUCAGUUGGAUUGUCUUGCUAUUUGCUAUAGCCUGAGCCUUAAGUGGCAAAUGCCCUCUCGUCCCUUAAACCAUAGACUUUAUCCCCUGUGCAGCUAUGCUCUAUAUCUCAUUUUCUUUUAAAAACCAACACAUUUCGCAGGCUAUCGAAUGGAUGAGAGUGAGCCUGAUUCGAAGUUCUUACGGCUCCAAUUUUCAAGAAAACCAGGUUCAAGACCAGGACAACGAGGAAGAAGGUAAUGACUCAGGGACAUUGAGGUACAUCAACCAAAUGAAUUUAUUGUUUCUCGUCGGCUGGUUUUAACGGAAAGAGCCAUCCUCGUUCAAGUAGAAACUCAAUGAAACCGAACAUUACAUCACUUGUUGUAUCGUUGAAGCUACCUGAAUCCUGAGAAACAAAGAUGCGUGGAGAGUGUAGAAUCUGAGGUGAUAGAACCUUAAAAUGCUAUUUUCACACAUAUAAUAUAUAUAUAUAUAUAUAUAUAUAUGUAUAUUAUUUUUGUUCCCUCCUUCUGUUAUAAAGUUGUGUUGUCGAUAUCAAAAUGUUUAUUACAAAAAGCUUGGUUUAAUAGAAUUUUAUACGAAGAGGAUUUUCUAUGGCUAAUAUCAAUAAAACAUUAUUUGCUCUGCUUUCUUCAUAAGCACUGUUUUUUUUUACCUUCGUUGUCAAUUCAUAUUUUGACUUGUAUUCCUCUCCUUUUUGUUUUCUCCUCCAGUUUAGAAAAUGAUUGAUUUUUUUUUUUUGGUCUUUCAAUAAUUCCUGUCUAUGUAUUAGAUGAAGACGUGUUUCGGGUGUGCUGUAGUCAGGGACGACUUGUGUGAUAUUUGAGAUAAGUUGUAAAAGAUUAUUUAUUUAAAUCAUUUUGUCGUCUAAAUAAUGUAAUGUUAUCUUGUUUCAUUCAUUGUCUGAAUGUGGAAAUUUUCUGUACACUUGGACAAACAAAGAGACGAACAAAAGCCUUAAGAAGACUUCAUGAAACUUCCUUUGCUUCAACAAUUUCUUACCGUCUAAAUUCUACCAUCAUACACAGAGCCAUUUGCUACUCAUAAAAUAGAUGAGGAAAAUUAAUUACACAUUAUCACUAUCAUCAAUUUACGAAAAAUGAUAAUUACUAAUCUCCUUGUCGGAAGAGUCACACCCCAAAAACGUAUAACCAUAACAAUGCUCUACUCCGCGUCUCUUUUUGUAUUACAUAUCAGAUAAUCAGAAAUCUUUCAUGUUUGUUGUCUGUCCCCUUUCACGAUUUUGAACUUCUUCUUUUUUUUUUUUUAAUGUGUACAUGUUGUCGAGUCUUCCCUAUAAAUGUAGGACAUACAUUAUUAAAACUGAAUUUCCCUAAACCAAAAGAAACUACGUUAGGUCUUGGUCUAAUGGUCAGUUAGUCAGUACCUACUAGAUCUGUGCGUGUAGUGCCUUUCACUAUCGUUGAGUCUUUCCUCAAAUUACUUUUAUAUAAGACUUAGAUAAUGAGACAAGACAAAAUUAAUAUAAGGGAUGCAUAACAAAAUUGUUCAGAAAGACGUAUGUAUACUUGUAUAGAAGCCGCCUGGCCCCCACGAAGCAGUGAAGUCUACGAACCCCUUCCAAUGCUUUCACACGGGGAAUUUAUUUGGUAAUAUACUGCAAUGGACAUCUAUAAAAAAAUACUAUAUUGCAAUGAAAAACGAAUAUAUUGUAAACUUCAAUUUUUGAAAAAAAAAAUUGUAAUUGAAGGCAAAUCUUAUAGGUUAUGGGAUCAGGUGAUUCUUGGAAUAAGACUACAUAACAUGUUGAAAUUCUGAACUUAGGAGGAUAUAUUCAUGCUUUGAACCAAAUAUAACUCGCCACAGAUGUAUUUAGAGAAAUACGUACAAUAAUGGUUGCAUUAGGAUUAAACAGAUUAUGGUUCCUUUAGCUUAAACCGAUAACUACCAUCAGCUGUAUGAAUGACAUGAUUCACUACAAAAUAAAUUACUUUUAAACUUUUGGUCAGGUAUAUUUUCUGUAUAAAGAAUAACUUUCUCCACUAGUAUUAGCGAUUCUAUUCCAUUUUUUAUAUGAAAAAUCAAUCAGGGAAAAAUAAAUUUUACUUAGAUUUUUGCAUGAGCUUUUGCUAAAAGUCAUUGAUUUAUUUGGAAUAUCAUUAUGAAAAUCCAAGCACGUCUUUUUUUUUCUCCUUUUAAUAUAAUCAUGAGUGUAAGGGAGAAAGCAAAUAAAGCAACACAAAUUUGAUGUUCUAUUAUUCAAAAAGUAAGUUAGAAAUGCAUGAAAAAAAAAAUUACUGGGAAAAAUACAGAUGAUAAUAGUGAAUCAGUGAUUACAAAUUCCUUUUUUGGUCGACAGUGAUUAAACAUUCAUUUGAAGAAAUAUUUACAUGAAUUAAUCCAAUUUUGGUACACAUUUUUCUUCUUCGUUUAUUGGAACACAUUAAGGUCAGACAAAGUGUGCAUUACGAUAGUAAUAAACUCCAAAGGUUUUUAUUAGGGAGGCAAUAGUAAAAAUUAAUAUGUUUGAAUCGAUGUGUGUUCUUUCUUUUUCAUACAUUCCAAUUUGAAUGUAUAUAUGAUGAAAAUUAUUAUUUAAAGUAUUGAUAUGAAUAUAUUAUCUCCAAAGAGGAGAAAAAGAAAUCAAAUAGCAUAUAUAUAUGCAGCUACGACCCACGUUGGAUAUUACAUAUUACCAAUCAAAUUAAAUACCCUUUUUGGUUACUUUUGUUUUCCGUGGUUGGCUUGGAGCCCUGGACUUUGAAUCACCAAACGAUGUUUGCUUUUACCUAAUUAUCUCACCAAAUUAGAGACUUUUUUGAGUAAAACAGUUUUGAACUUAAAAGAUUCUCACACACUACUAAAAACCGUUUAAAUUUUGUGUGGAAUGCAUACACAUAUAUUGCCGCUAAAGGUAACUUUCUGAUUGUUAAGUAUAUUUUUAUUCUGGAAACAAAUCUAGCAACAAAUAUAUAUAUAUAUAUAUAUAUAUAUAUAUAUAUAUAUAAUAAAAAAUGUUAGUAAUAAUUUAAAAAAAAAAAAAACCCAGCAAGGCAAAAAAAAUUUCCGCAGUUUACGUAUUUUUAUCUUCAUUCCUACUAGUUUUUUUUUUUAGAUCAUUCAUUCCUACUAGUUAUAAACUCAUAAUUAUUACUUGAUUAAUAAAAUUUUAUUAUUAUUAUUGAUAUUGUGUUUCCAUAUGAUUUUCGAACCAUAAAAUAUUUUUUACUCCAUCACUAGUACCAUGUAAAAAUAACAAAGCAUAUUUAAGUUUGUUUAAACCAACUUAUAUAUGACGGUGAUUAUAUAUUUAUAUUAAGUUUGUUUUACGUCAAUUUCUUCAGCCUCAAAAUUGUCAAGAUUAGUUAUUUAACUUUCGACGCCUAACCAAGAUAGUCAACUUUCGAGAAAAAUAAAACUAUAUAGAAUGUUAAGUUGUUGAUUUGUCUAAAUCCUAAUCCAGCUGGUUACUUACCCAUUUGAUAAAAAUUGCUCAAACAUUUAACUUCUAUUAUCUGAGAUGUUUUAUUGUCUAAUGUUUGACCAAGCCUUAACUAAUUUUCAAGAAGACAAUUGGCCUUGAAUUGGAUUAUCCUCCACCUUGUAUAUUUAUUUCUGAAACACCGGUUCGUGAAUCGUGAUAAUGUUAUUAUUUCCCAAUAUGUUAACAUUAUAGUAUAUAAAUUAAGAUACAAUGUAUAUACGUUAUAUCUUUCUCGUUGAGUUGUUUACAUCAUUUCAAAAGUAAGCAUAUUAAAAAGAAACGCGAUAUGCCGAUAUGACUAUUUGAAAAUUUCAAAUGCUAUUAAAAAUUUUGGUCAUAACAUCUAUUUAUCUUGUCUGAAUCUUAAAACGUAAUAUUAGAUUCGAGUUAAUGUUGAUCAAACAAUAAUUAGAAUAAGAGAUUACAAAUGAAUCUGAGUAAUGACAAGAAACGUGUUAUAAAACGAAGAACGUGUGAGGCAAAACCCCAAAAAACAAAGCAGAAAAUAAAUCAAAGAUUGACUGUCACCGGCACGAGAGAGAAUCAUCUGCAUGACGGACCACCUUCUCUUUCUAUGUUCCUUCUACAUUCAACUCGGCCGCCUAUCUUUUAAGAUUUUAACGCGUUCCUUCUUUAUUUGUUCUUGUCAAGAACAAAUUAAAAUAGGAUGUCAAAGAUAAACUCGAAAUUUGAUUUUUCUUUUACUUUUGAACAAUGUAGUUCGUAGUUAAAGAAAGAAAAAAAAAACCUAUUCAAACUCGUAUAUUGUAUUUUGUUGAAAAUAAAAUAAAAAAUAUUUGGAUAUAGAAAAAAUAGUAUUUCAUGUGCUGGUAAUGGACGAAUGCUUGUUUACAGCAUUCAGAAUGUGUAAUUCUCUCGUUUGUUCCCCUCUGUGGGAUCAUCUAUCUUUUUUACGCACCAUUUUCUAGAAUAAUGUCGGUCAUUUUUGAUUUUUAUAGUUCCUCUAAUAUAUUAUGGUAAAAUUCUGUUACCUGUAGAUUCAAUUCAAUGUUCUCUAUAUUUUAUUUGAUAUGAACAUGCAGAACAUAUCGAUCAACGAUGACCAAAAUUAUAGAAGGGGAAAAAGAAAAUCAAUAAUGUAGCCCGAAAGAGACUAACCUCAUUUUCUUUCUUUGUAUUAUAUAUUCAAUCAUUAUUGUUUUUCUUACAUAUGACAUAAAUUGCCAUUUACCAUGAGCGAUCGAAGUUAAAAAAAAAAAAAAAACCGAGAAAGUGAAAUUGAAAAGCUAUAUAAAGGGUGUGAAGGGGAGAGAGUAGAGCAUCAAACACAAAGAGAAACACAUAGAAAAUGGGGUCACCAAUGGCUUCUUUGGCAGCAACUUUGCUUGUCUUAGCAUUCUCUCUUUGUUUUGUAUCGGAAACCACCGCAAAUUACUACUACUCUUCUCCUCCUCCACCGGUCAAACACUACACUCCUCCGGUUUACAAAUCUCCACCACCACCGGUUAAGCAUUACUCUCCUCCUCCGGUUUACAAAUCCCCACCUCCUCCCAAGAAACACUACGAGUACAAAUCACCUCCACCACCGGUUAGGCACUAUUCUCCUCCUCCGGUUUACAAAUCCCCACCCCCACCAAAGAAGGACUACGAGUACAAAUCUCCUCCUCCACCGGUUAAACACUACUCUCCUCCUCCGGUUUACAAGUCUCCACCACCACCAAAGAAGGACUACGAGUACAAAUCACCUCCACCACCGGUUAAGCACUACUCUCCUCCUCCGGUUACAAAUCUCCNNNNNNNNNNNNNNNNNNNNNNNNNNNNNNNNNNNNNNNNNNNNNNNNNNNNNNNNNNNNNNNNNNNNNNNNNNNNNNNNNNNNNNNNNNNNNNNNNNNNUCCACCUCCACCAAAAAAAGGACUACGAGUACAAAUCCCCUCCACCACCGGUUAAGCAUUACUCUCUCCUCCAGUUACAAGUCCCCACCUCCUCACCAAGAACACUACGAAUACAAAUCACCUCCUCCUCCGGUUUACAAGUCCCCUCCUCCUCCGGUUUACCACUCUCCACCACCUAAGAAGCAUUACGAGUACAAAUCUCCUCCUCCACCGGUUUACCAGUCUCCUCCUCCUCCGGUUUACCACGCUCCCCCACCACCAAAGAAACAUUACGAAUACAAAUCUCCUCCACCACCGGUUUACCAGUCUCCCCCUCCUUUGGUUUACCACUCUCCUCCACCACCCAAGAAACAUUACGAGUACAAAUCACCUCCUCCACCGGUUUACCAGUCUCCCCCUCCUCCAGUUUAUCAUUCUCCUCCACCACCGGUUUACCAAUCUCCCCCUCCUCCGGUUUACCACUCUCCUCCACCACCUAAAAAACAUUACGAGUACAAAUCUCCUCCUCCUCCGGUUUACCAGUCUCCUCCUCCUCCGGUUUACCACUCUCCCCCACCACCAAAAGAGCACUACGAAUACAAAUCUCCUCCUC